UUGGGAAUGAUCCCUCACGAGUGCAGAAUAUAGAUCCCCCACCCAAGAUUGCUAACAUUGGUAAAGAUGUCGAUACUGCAAUAGAAAUAAAGAAAAGAGAUAUACAAAAAUAUAAUCAAAUACGUGAAUCAGCCUAAGGCUUACCUUCAAUGGGCAUAUAAGUUUCACUAUGAAAGAAAGAACAAAUACAAGAGAUCACACCCUUUUAACUCUCAUAUAUCAAUCUCUCUCUCAACAAGAAGCAUAAAAAGUCCUCAUAAAAGGCUCUCAAAAGAUCCUCAAAAAGGCUCUCUAGCUGCUAUCAGCCCCUCUCCGUGCUCCACGGCCG
This 328-nucleotide long non-coding RNA is filed under the name Elaeis guineensis (African oil palm). Its description in RNAcentral is "long non-coding RNA (EGUI_LNC011628)". The record is from RNAcentral. Lineage: Eukaryota; Viridiplantae; Streptophyta; Magnoliopsida; Arecales; Arecaceae.